CGUAGGUGGCAAGCGUUGUCCGGAUUUAUUGGGUUUAAAGGGUGCGUAGGCGGCCCUGUAAGUCAGUGGUGAAAUAUCUCAGCUUAACCGAGAGGGUGCCAUUGAUACUGCGGGGCUUGAGUACAGAUGAGGUAGGCGGAAUUGACGGUGUAGCGGUGAAAUGCAUAGAUAUCGUCAAGAACUCCGAUAGCGAAGGCAGCUUACUAAGCUGUAACUGACGCUGAGGCACGAAAGUGUGGGGAUCAAACAGGAUUAGAUACCCUGGUAGUCCACACUGUAAACGUUGAUGACUCGAUGUUGGCGAUACACAGCCAGCGUCCAAGAGCAAUCGUUAAGUCAUCCACCUGGGGAGUACGCCGGCAACGGUG
This 368-nucleotide ribosomal RNA is filed under the name uncultured organism. Its description in RNAcentral is "bacterial SSU rRNA". It matches the Rfam family "Bacterial small subunit ribosomal RNA", at positions 526 to 896 of the family's 1533-position model. The record is from RNAcentral.